Molecule: ribosomal RNA, 225 nt
Filed under: Clostridioides sp. ZZV14-6154
Lineage: Bacteria; Bacillati; Bacillota; Clostridia; Peptostreptococcales; Peptostreptococcaceae
Description: partial 23S ribosomal RNA
Rfam family: Bacterial large subunit ribosomal RNA
Source: RNAcentral
GGAAUAGCCCAAACCAAUAAAGUUUUCUUUAUUGGGGUUGCGGACAUAUCUUAAACGAAGAGGUAUCGUAAUUGAAGAGGUUUGGAAAGACCCACCAUAGAAGGUAAUAGUCCUGUAUGUCAAACGAAAAAACUUCAGAUAUGAUCCAGAGUACCACGGGACACGUGAAACCCUGUGGGAAGCAGGAGGGACCACCCUCCAAGGCUAAAUACUACCUAGUGACCG